RNAcentral lists this long non-coding RNA (490 nucleotides) under Monodelphis domestica (gray short-tailed opossum). Its description in RNAcentral is "lncRNA (ENSMODG00000045110.1)". Lineage: Eukaryota; Metazoa; Chordata; Mammalia; Didelphimorphia; Didelphidae. The record is from RNAcentral.
CACUUCCCACUUGGCUGGGAUAGGUCUUGCUAUAAGAUGUGAGGAAUGAUGACAGACAGGUGACCUGCUUUGGUUCCUGCAUAUGUAUCCAAACAUCACUGGCAUAUCAUCCCAAGGACCAUCCCUCCAAUUCUUGUCCAAAGACCCAAAGUAAUGACUUUGUGCAUUCAAAACUGUGAACCUGAAAAUAACAGAAUAUUUAACUUGGGUUAAAAAGUCAGCUUCACAAUACAAGUUUGAGGAGCAAUGUUUAAACAUCAGUUUGACCGGGCAAAAUUUUUCCAGGCCAAUGAAUCACUUCAGUAGAGAAUGUCCUAAUAUUAUUUUUUCAGUUAAACCUGUUCUCAUAUAUAGUACUGUCACCUUGCCAUCCUAUUAAAAAAAAGUUAAUUUGUUAUCUUCCUAUGAAUUAAUGUAUUUCUUUGAGAGAUAAGCAACUAGAAUUUCAAAUUAUUCCAAAAGUACAAGCAUACUACUUUAAAUAAAGAUA